RNAcentral lists this ribosomal RNA (146 nucleotides) under Heterosigma akashiwo. Its description in RNAcentral is "partial Bacterial large subunit ribosomal RNA". It matches the Rfam family "Bacterial large subunit ribosomal RNA", at positions 708 to 876 of the family's 2925-position model. Lineage: Eukaryota; Raphidophyceae; Chattonellales; Chattonellaceae. The record is from RNAcentral.
AAGACCCCCGAAACCAGACGAGCUACCUAAGAACAGCUAAAAGAGCACACCCGUCUAUGUAGCAAAAUAGUGGGAAGAUUUAUAGGUAGAGGCGACAAACCUACCGAGCCUGGUGAUAGCUGGUUGUCCAAGAUAGAAUCUUAGUU